This 467-nucleotide ribosomal RNA is filed under the name uncultured bacterium. RNAcentral describes it as "partial 16S ribosomal RNA". It matches the Rfam family "Bacterial small subunit ribosomal RNA", at positions 28 to 506 of the family's 1533-position model. The record is from RNAcentral.
GACGAACGCUGGCGGCGUGCUUAACACAUGCCAGUCGAACGGAAAGGCCCUGCUUUUGUGGGGUGCUCGAGUGGCGAACGGGUGAGUAACACGUGAGUAACCUGCCCUUGACUUUGGGAUAACUUCAGGAAACUGGGGCUAAUACCGGAUAGGAGCUCCUGCUGCAUGGUGGGGGUUGGAAAGUUUCGGCGGUUGGGGAUGGACUCGCGGCUUAUCAGCUUGUUGGUGGGGUAGUGGCUUACCAAGGCUUUGACGGGUAGCCGGCCUGAGAGGGUGACCGGCCACAUGGGGACUGGGAUACGGCCCAGACUCCUACGGGAGGCAGCAGGGGGGAAUAUGGCACAAUGGGCGGAAGCCUGAUGCAGCAACGCCGCGUGCGGAAUGACGGCCUUCGGGUUGUAAACCGCUUUCGCCUGUGACGAAGCGUGAGUGACGGAAAUGGGUAAAGAAGCACCGCCGAACUACUU